This 303-nucleotide ribosomal RNA is filed under the name uncultured bacterium. Its description in RNAcentral is "partial 16S ribosomal RNA". It matches the Rfam family "Bacterial small subunit ribosomal RNA", at positions 507 to 807 of the family's 1533-position model. The record is from RNAcentral.
AGCAGUAGCCACGGGAAUACAGAGGGUGCGAGCGUUAAUCGGAUUUACUGGGCGUAAAGCGUGCGUAGGCGGCUAAUUGAGUCGGAUGUGAAAUCCCCGAGCUUAACUUGGGAAUUGCAUUCGAUACUGGUUAGCUAGAGUGUGGGAGAGGAUGGUAGAAUUCCAGGUGUAGCGGUGAAAUGCGUAGAGAUCUGGAGGAAUACCGAUGGCGAAGGCAGCCAUCUGGCCUAACACUGACGCUGAGGUACGAAAGCAUGGGGAGCAAACAGGAUUAGAUACCCCAGUAGUCCCUGUCUCUUAUAC